Molecule: RNA transcript, 2261 nt
Organism: Brassica napus (rape)
Lineage: Eukaryota; Viridiplantae; Streptophyta; Magnoliopsida; Brassicales; Brassicaceae
Gene name: choline-phosphate cytidylyltransferase 1-like
Exons: 3
Source: RefSeq, a predicted model, not a curated record
UAUAUAAACUUGGUUCUUCAAAGUUGCUAAUUAACAUGAUUGCCACACAUGACAAUAAAUACUUUAAGAUUGUGACAGGUGUUAAAAAUAUUUAUCAUAAAUAUAUACUUAUUUGAUAAAAAUGACUAUAGUAGUUUCUUUCUAAAAUCCUAAAUAGAUAAGAAUUACAAAAAUGAAUGGAAAUGUCUCUGUGAAAAUGUAGGAUUUGAUCUAAGAUGAAUGACAUGUUAAAGAAAAAAAUAAGAAACCGAUUACGAUAAAGAAGUAAAUAAGGAAAGUAUGUGAUUAAGAAAAUGAUAUGAUAUAAGGAGAGUAUGUUUUGGCUUCGGGCCGUAAAAUAUAUGUGAUCGUUUUUGGCUUCGGGUCGUAUGUAUCGACCGUGAUGGACCUUCGGGGUCGAGUGGUUUCGGGCCGUAUGAGUGACUGACGGGUCAAGUGGCUUCGGGCUGUGUAUGAUUGGCUACGGGCCGUAUACAUUUGCCUACUGGCCAUGUAUGAUUUCGCUACGGGCCAUGUAUGACUGGCUUUGGGCCGUAAGUGACCUUUGAAGUCGAGAACGAGUAUAAAUGGUUAAGUGAAUUGAAAAUGCGUAAAACUUUAUAAGUAAGGAUAAAAUGUUAGAUAAAUGAAAAUGUUUAAGUAUAAGAAUGGAAUGAAAUAUUAGGUUGUUAUAACAGAAAGAAAUGCUAGGUUGUUAUAACAGAAAGGAUGGUUAAGUUGUUAGAACGGAAAUGAAUGCUAGGUUGUUAGAAUGAGAUGGGAUGCUAGGUGUUAGAAGGAAUGCUAGGUUGAUAAAGUGAAAUUUAUCGUUAAUAUUAGAAAUGUAAGAGCACCAUUAUCCCAGUUUCUGAUUAAGGUUUCUCUUAAUAAAUGGUGAUUUAAUUAAAUGAAAAGGAAAUAAAUAGGCAGUUACCGAUCCUUAAUCUGGCUAUUUGGGAAACGCUGGGGAGAGGGUUUUCAAAUACACGUGUCAGCUUGGGAAGAAAAUGAGACUUAUAUAUAUAUUUUUUCUCUUCUCUUUCUUUCUUUCUUCCUUUCUUCCUUCGUGUUCUCCAUCUUCGAAGAGUCUUGUCUUCGUGUUCUCCGCAGGACAACGGUCCGUUCCUCACCGACGAUCCCAUCCUCCGCAUCAAUCUCAUCGCCUUCUUCUGUAACUCUUCCCCGCAUCAAAGGCAUCGCCUUCUUCUGUAGCGUCUUCUCCAGAAUCCCCUCUCUUCGUUCUUCUCUUAUUGAGCUUCUACACGAUGACCUCGAAGCUUAUCAGUUGCGCUCGUCUCGAAUCUCCAGGACGAGCCUCCGUCUACUUCCGACUCCGUCGAUAUUACGGCCAAGGAGGAGGUAGAUGAGAUCGAUGUUACAAACGGCGAUGCGAUUUAUUCAAUUGGACUCGUCUCUCUCGUUGAGGCUUUAAUUAACGAAGGGCUCUACAACGUCCAUGUCUGUGCUCCUCAGAUCUUCGGAGAAUAUGAGCAACGUCACCGCAGACCUCCCCUCCACCGCCGUCGCACUCCCCGGUUCUACAGCGAACGAGAGUUCGCCUCCGACUGAUCGUCCCAUCCGCGUCUACGCCGAUGGGAUCUACGAUCUUUUCCACUUCGGUCACGCCCGAUCUCUCUCGGACUGGCCAAGAAAUCGUUAGUAACCUCUUUAUCUCCACUACAUAGCUUCUGACUAAUUCUGCAUAUCCCUGAUUCGAUUUCGUUUUUGUUUUUGUUUGGGCGAUUGAUCUGUGAUCUGGAUGAGAAUUUGAUCUGUUUUGAUUAAUAUUACUGCCAAAUUUUGUGAUGCGCAAAGCAUUGUGGUGUGUGAUUUUGAUAGGUUUCCAAACACUUACCUUCUUGUGGGAUGUUGCAACGAUGAAACGACACAUAAGUACAAAGGGAAGGACUGUGAUGACUUCUGAAGAACGAUAUGAAUCACUUCGGCAUUGCAAAAGUGGAGACGGCAUUUACAGGCACCCCGGAAACGUAAGUCUUAAGAAGAGUCAACGUUCUCAUGUCCCACAGCUGAAACAGUUACCUCCCUAUCCAUCAGCAUAUCCAUGAGCCGAGUAAUGCCGCGAGGAGUAGUCAAAAUAGCUUCAUGCAAUCUGAAGAGACCAUCAACUAAAGACUCUACAGCGUAAAGAUAGAAAUAUGGUACAGAAAUAACACUUUGUAAGAAUAUAUACCUGUUUUGAGAGUUCAUAAGAAGAGCUGGAGAGUGUAAUAUCGAACAUAAAAAUCUUCUUCCUCCUGCCAUAACAAGAGGAGAACAAACCA